GCCGAUGUGGCGGAAUUGGCAGACGCACUUGACUCAAAAUCAAGCGGUGAAUAACCGUGCCGGUUCGAGUCCGGCCAUCGGCACCA
RNAcentral lists this transfer RNA (86 nucleotides) under Candidatus Limivivens intestinipullorum. RNAcentral's name for it is "tRNA-Leu". It matches the Rfam family "tRNA". From Rfam's summary of the family: Transfer RNA (tRNA) molecules are approximately 80 nucleotides in length. Their secondary structure includes four short double-helical elements and three loops (D, anti-codon, and T loops). Further hydrogen bonds mediate the characteristic L-shaped molecular structure. tRNAs have two regions of fundamental functional importance: the anti-codon, which is responsible for specific mRNA codon recognition, and the 3' end, to which the tRNAs corresponding amino acid is attached (by aminoacyl-tRNA synthetases). tRNAs cope with the degeneracy of the genetic code in two manners: having more than one tRNA (with a specific anti-codon) for a particular amino acid; and 'wobble' base-pairing, i.e. permitting non-standard base-pairing at the 3rd anti-codon position. The record is from RNAcentral. Lineage: Bacteria; Bacillati; Bacillota; Clostridia; Lachnospirales; Lachnospiraceae.